RNAcentral lists this unclassified non-coding RNA (368 nucleotides) under soil metagenome. RNAcentral's name for it is "partial contains 5.8S ribosomal RNA, internal transcribed spacer 2, and large subunit ribosomal RNA". The stretch from base 1 to 120 matches the Rfam family "5.8S ribosomal RNA", at positions 35 to 154 of the family's 154-position model. The record is from RNAcentral.
GAUGAAGAACGCAGCGAAAUGCGAUAAGUAAUGUGAAUUGCAGAAUUCAGUGAACCAUCAAAUCUUUGAACGCACAUUGCGCCCGGCAGUAAUCUGCCGGGCAUGCCUGUCCGAGCGUCAUUUCUGCCCUCGAGCGAGUCCAGCAUCUAGGUGCUGGGCCCGCCCGGCGUUGGGGCACUACGGGAAGCCCUGUGCUGUCCCCCGUAGGCCCCGAAAUGAAGUGGCGGUCCUGCCGCGGCGCCCCCUGCGUAGUAUAACAGCUCGCUUCGGGACCCGGUGGAGGCCUGCCGUCAAACCUUACUCUCUAAGUUUGACCUCGGAUCAGGUAGGGUUACCCGCUGAACUUAAGCAUAUCAAUAAGCGGAGGA